UUUUUCAUUGGAGAGUUUGAUCCUGGCUCAGGACGAACGCUGGCGGCGUGCUUAACACAUGCAAGUCGAACGGAAAGGCCCCUUUGGGGGUACUCGAGUGGCGAAAGGGUGAGGAACACGUGAGUAACCUGCCCUUGA
RNAcentral lists this ribosomal RNA (138 nucleotides) under Cutibacterium avidum. Its description in RNAcentral is "partial 16S ribosomal RNA". It matches the Rfam family "Bacterial small subunit ribosomal RNA", at positions 1 to 135 of the family's 1533-position model. The record is from RNAcentral. Lineage: Bacteria; Bacillati; Actinomycetota; Actinomycetes; Propionibacteriales; Propionibacteriaceae.